RNAcentral lists this transfer RNA (71 nucleotides) under Marmota monax (woodchuck). Its description in RNAcentral is "tRNA.Ala". It matches the Rfam family "tRNA". From Rfam's summary of the family: Transfer RNA (tRNA) molecules are approximately 80 nucleotides in length. Their secondary structure includes four short double-helical elements and three loops (D, anti-codon, and T loops). Further hydrogen bonds mediate the characteristic L-shaped molecular structure. tRNAs have two regions of fundamental functional importance: the anti-codon, which is responsible for specific mRNA codon recognition, and the 3' end, to which the tRNAs corresponding amino acid is attached (by aminoacyl-tRNA synthetases). tRNAs cope with the degeneracy of the genetic code in two manners: having more than one tRNA (with a specific anti-codon) for a particular amino acid; and 'wobble' base-pairing, i.e. permitting non-standard base-pairing at the 3rd anti-codon position. Lineage: Eukaryota; Metazoa; Chordata; Mammalia; Rodentia; Sciuridae. The record is from RNAcentral.
GGGGUUGUGGCUCAGUGGCAGAGCACUUGCCUAGCAUGGGCAAGGCACUGUGUUCAAUACUCAGCACCCCA